UACGUAGGUGGCAAGCGUUGUCCGGAAUUAUUGGGCGUAAAGAGCUCGUAGGCGGCUUGUCGCGUCGUCCGUGAAAACCUGCAGCUCAACUGCAGGCUUGCGGUCGAUACGGGCAGGCUAGAGUUCGGUAGGGGAGAAUGGAAUUCCCGGUGUAGCGGUGAAAUGCGCAGAUAUCGGGAGGAACACCGGUGGCGAAGGCGGAUCUCUGGGCCAUUACUGACGCUGAGGAGCGAAAGCGUGGGGAGCGAACAGG
This 253-nucleotide ribosomal RNA is filed under the name uncultured bacterium. Its description in RNAcentral is "partial 16S ribosomal RNA". It matches the Rfam family "Bacterial small subunit ribosomal RNA", at positions 524 to 776 of the family's 1533-position model. The record is from RNAcentral.